RNAcentral lists this long non-coding RNA (1502 nucleotides) under Homo sapiens (human). Its description in RNAcentral is "HSALNT0018506". Lineage: Eukaryota; Metazoa; Chordata; Mammalia; Primates; Hominidae. The record is from RNAcentral.
UCCGACCGCGGCGCUAGGGGGCGGGGCCAGCGAGCGGUGUUGAAAGCAGCAGGGGCCUAGAAGACAUUAAACCGAUACCACAGAAAUACAAAGGAUCAUUAGAGACUAUUAUGAACAACUAUAUGCCAACAAAUUGGAAACCAAAUGGAAAUGGAUAAAUUCCUGAACAGAUACAACUUACCAAAAUUGGACCAAGAAGAAAUAGAAAACCUGAAAAGACCAACUAUGAGUAAUGAGAUUAAAUCAGUAAUAUAGAGUCUCCCAUCAAAGAAAAGUCCAGGCCCUGAUGGCUUCACUGCUGAAUUCUACUGAACAGUUAAAGAAGAACUCAUACCAGUUCUCAAACUCAUCCUGUGAGGGCAGCAUUACCCUGAUACCAAAACUAGAUAUGGACACAAGAAAAAAAAUCUAUAGGCCAGUAUCCCUGAUGAACAUAGAUGCAAGAAUCCUCAACAAGACCAGGUGUGGUGGUUCAUGCCUGUAAUCCCAGCACUUUGGGAGGCCAAGGCAGGUGGAUCACCUGAGGUCAGGAAUUUGAGACCAGCCUGGCCAACAUGGCAAAACCCUGUCUGUACUAAAAAUACAAAAAUUAGCCGGGCAAGGUGGCGUGUGCCUGUAAUCCUAGCUACUUGGGAGGCUGAGGCAGGAGAAUUGCUUGAACCUGGAGGGAGGAGGGGCAGAAGUUGCAGCGAGCUCAGAUCGUCCCACUGCACUCCAGCCUGGGUGACAGAGUGAGACUCCAUCUCAAAAUAAGUAAAUAAAUAAAGAGACUCAACUAGCAUAAAUGAAUUGCAAGUGUUUUAUAGUAUAUAAUGAGCACAACAAAAGUAUCAAUAUAUUACAUGGAAAUACAUUUUUCAAAGCUGGAUCUUUAGCUUCCAAGGAUUAAGGAGAAUUUUGUUACUGAGUUGGUUCUUAAUUUAGGCUCUGCACCUGAGACCUAGAGUCCCCUGGGAUUUGGGUCCGAGGACUGGCAUUACCUUUGUAGGUGGCUCUUGGCAACUAGCACUGUCUAAGAUCUUAACAUUUGCAAAUGAAGCCUUAAAACAUGUCCCAAAAGUAUGGAAAGUGGGCCGAUUUCAACACAACCAUUACCUGUUCCUGGUAGCUGACCAACUAGGAGAUUUCAGAGGUCAAGUGGGACAGAGCAGGGUAGGGAAUUUUUUUUUAAGCUUUAUUAUAAAACAGGUAACUUUGUCCCUAUCUUAAGAAUUUGGAACUGAGGCUAUAGGUCACUCAAUGAUCAAAUAAUGAAAGGUCUGCUUCAACUGGACUACUUAAUAUUUCACAUUUACCUUUUUGACUAGAAAUAACUGAUGAAAGUUCACUUAGUUUGGUGGGAAAUAAGAGAUACAAAGAUAUCUUCUCCAGGAUGAGACUCCCAAAAGCAAAUGUUCUCUGAGUACCUCUGUCGCUCAAAUUUAAGCCCUUUGGAGUUCCUUUGAGCAUGGUUCUGCCCUCAUAUUUCUGAUCACUCCCUCUAGACUCCUACUCAACUUCUC